This 288-nucleotide long non-coding RNA is filed under the name Elaeis guineensis (African oil palm). RNAcentral's name for it is "long non-coding RNA (EGUI_LNC079778)". Lineage: Eukaryota; Viridiplantae; Streptophyta; Magnoliopsida; Arecales; Arecaceae. The record is from RNAcentral.
AUAUGGUUUGGACUGGUCUUGUCAUGUGGAAUAGCCUGCCAGGAGCUUAUGCCUGGGACAGCCCCCACAAGCUUAUGUGUGGAAGAAUUUGAUCCGAGAAAGAUCAUGAAUGAUUUGAUCCGAGAAAGAUCAUGGCCACUUUGAUCCAAGAAAGAUCAUAAAUAGUUCGAUCCGAGGAAGAUCACAGAAAUCGAUCCGAAUAAAAGAUCGUCGCCUGAUCCUGGUAGUCCAAAGCCAAAGCCAAAAAGAAAAGGAUUAAAGACGAUGUGAUAAUAGAAGAAAAUAGAA